This 933-nucleotide long non-coding RNA is filed under the name Ooceraea biroi (clonal raider ant). RNAcentral's name for it is "uncharacterized LOC105285038, transcript variant X1". The record is from RNAcentral. Lineage: Eukaryota; Metazoa; Arthropoda; Insecta; Hymenoptera; Formicidae.
UUGAAUAUCAGCUUCCGUCUAGUUAUUUUACGUCUUUUGCGCUAUUGCCGAAUACGCCGAAUUCAAUAUCUAGUGGAAGAUACGCUGAUGCAUGUGUGUUAGUGCGUAUCGUUUUUGGCCAGUUUGGACGGAUCAAUCCUCUGUGAUCCACCGAAUUGGGCGGCAUUACAGUGUAACUGUAAAAUUCGUGUAAUAAGAAGUAUUGUUUGAGAAAGUUGUUCUUGGAUGGUGCAGAGCUGCAAAAAUAAAAAGCAAGAAAAUCAAAUCAGGACACGUGCACGCUAAUCAGUACAUUAAUUAACUACAAACUGGGUGUACUCCACGUUCGAGGAACUAGUUUCCGUACGGUAAAUGCGGAUUCUUUAUACAGAGUGUGAAAUCAUUUCCGGCGCAGCCAGUUAGCAUGGGAAAACAAUUCCGGCAACUUUCCGUCAAAUCUCCAAUGAGAGAUGACAUAGCUGAUGUGGCGUUUUAGAUUAAAGAAUCGUUUCCUACUCUCUCCAGUCUCUGGGUUGAAGAAAUGGCAACGCAAAGAAGGCGAAUGUAAGGAUAUUAAUACCUACAAAACUAGUAUCGGAGACGAUAUUAAUGCCUGGUUAAAAAUAUUACAUUUAUACCACAUCCAAGACUGGAUGAUCAUUCUAGUAGAAACAUAUGAUGUGAAAGGCCAAUAAGCUAUUACCUAGAACUACUGUUUUGGACAAAAUACGAAGUGGUUUUGCUGCCAAGACUGCUGAUAGGAAGAAUUAGUAUUUGAACUAAAUCAUCAUCUAAGACUUCUUUUGGUCGAGUGUAAGGCGUCCUUGUUAGAUCUUAGAAGUUACUUGAAUAAUAAUAAUGAUAAUUUAGAAUAAUGGUCUGUACAUUUAUUAGUAAAGUAUGAUGAGAUAUAUUUAUUCAUCAAUAAAGAAAAAAUCUAACAAAAUACGAGAU